ACAUAAACGAGAUGGCAGAAGUAUUUCUGCUUACGCACCUUAUGUGCGCGAAAUGAAUUUAUGGCUCAAACAUGU
Molecule: unclassified non-coding RNA, 75 nt
Filed under: Algibacter pectinivorans
Lineage: Bacteria; Pseudomonadati; Bacteroidota; Flavobacteriia; Flavobacteriales; Flavobacteriaceae
Description: Flavo-1 RNA
Source: RNAcentral